GACGCUAUCGUCUAGUGGUUAGGACAACGGGUUUUCAUCCCGUAGGCCGGAGUUCAAUUCUCCGUAGCGUUACCA
RNAcentral lists this transfer RNA (75 nucleotides) under Candidatus Altimarinota bacterium. RNAcentral describes it as "tRNA-Glu". It matches the Rfam family "tRNA". From Rfam's summary of the family: Transfer RNA (tRNA) molecules are approximately 80 nucleotides in length. Their secondary structure includes four short double-helical elements and three loops (D, anti-codon, and T loops). Further hydrogen bonds mediate the characteristic L-shaped molecular structure. tRNAs have two regions of fundamental functional importance: the anti-codon, which is responsible for specific mRNA codon recognition, and the 3' end, to which the tRNAs corresponding amino acid is attached (by aminoacyl-tRNA synthetases). tRNAs cope with the degeneracy of the genetic code in two manners: having more than one tRNA (with a specific anti-codon) for a particular amino acid; and 'wobble' base-pairing, i.e. permitting non-standard base-pairing at the 3rd anti-codon position. The record is from RNAcentral. Lineage: Bacteria; Candidatus Altimarinota.